CAAUUCAAAGUAGGUUGAACUAUGGUAUUAUAGACUUGAGCAUUUUAACUAUGAUAGCUUUUGCCAUUUCUUACCAAAUGAUAAAGUCAAAGGUAUUUUCUAAUUCAAAUUCAUGAAAAAAAUAUGCAAAAAAUAUUUAGCAAAAAAUAAUUUUUUAAAUAAUUUUCAAUAAAAUCAACUAUUAACUCUGUUGUAAUACGUGAAGUCUUGCUUAAGAAUGCUCCGGACACCUGGCUGUGGAAGGAAGAAUGGAAAUUAUAAUAAUAAAAUCCUAAUUCUAAUAGAAUACUAACAAUGCUCUAAUUAGAUUAGAAUAAUGCUAAGUAAGCUUAAUCAAAUUCAAAAAAACCUCAAAGAAAUUUCAAACAAAUAAUAAGAAUUCUUAAAGAAAUAUUAAAAGGAUCACAAAUAUCACUCAAAUACAUCUCAAUUCAAUCUUAAUUUAAUUCUAGUUAAAAUCCUAUUGAACUUCAUUCAAACUUUAGGCAAAAACUAAUUGAAUCUUAAAUCCUAAUAAAAUCCUAAAUCCUAAAUCAAACCCUAAACAAACCUUAAAUCAAACUCCAACCAAAUCUUAAACCAAAUCUUAACCAAACUCUAAACCAAACUCUGAACCCUAAAUCAAAUCCUAACCAAACUUUGAAUCCUAAAUCAAACCCUAAUCAAACCCUAAUCAAAAUCUUAAACCCUAAACCAAAUCCUAAUCCAAACCCUAAAUCCUAAAUCCAAUCCUAAUCAAACCCUAAACUCUAAAUUAAACCUUAACCAAAUCCUAAAUCCUAAAUAAAAUCCUAACCAAAUCCUAAACCAAAUCCUAAUCCAAAUUCUAAACCCUAAACCAAACCCUAAUCAAAUCCUAAACUCUAAAUCAAACCCUAAUCCAAACCCUAAAUCCCAAACCAAAU
RNAcentral lists this long non-coding RNA (905 nucleotides) under Physcomitrium patens. RNAcentral describes it as "long non-coding RNA (PPAT_LNC012660)". The record is from RNAcentral. Lineage: Eukaryota; Viridiplantae; Streptophyta; Bryopsida; Funariales; Funariaceae.